AUUCCAUUGUAUGUGUAUACCACAUAUUCCUUAUCAAUUCAUCCAUUGAUGGACACUGGGUUGCUUCUGCUUUUUGCCUGUUGUGAAUAUGCUGCUGUGAACAUGGAUGUACAAGUGUCUCUGAGUUCCUGCUUUCAGUUCUUUUGGGUGUGUACCCAGAAAUGGAACCACUGUAUUGUGUGGUAAUUCUGUGUGUAAUUGUUUGAGGAAGCGCCAUACUGUUUUGCUUAGCAACUACUGUUUUAAGGGGAUGUCUCAAUUACCUAACUUUUCGUAUGUAUGUCUUGCCUCUCCUCUGUGAGUUUUACAAAUGCAAUCCUCCUGCCUCUGUUCCGCUUAUGUCCUUUGAACUGGACUGGUUAAAAUUCUGGCCCUGUGGACAAGUUUGGGUUAACACCGUGGAUCGACUGGUUGGGCCAUAGUCAGCCCAGAUUCUGGAUUCAGGAACUUACCGCCAUUCUCUUCUCAACCUUACCUUUGGAAAACACAUCAGGUCCACCCAUCUGGCCGGGCAGUACCUUCUUCAAGAGAAAUGGAGCCCUCCUGCAAGUUGAACCGAAGUUACGCCUUCUGGAAUGUUGAAGACCGUGUUCAAUCUCUCUGAAGCUCCUGCUACAUUGGGACCAAUACCCAUGAGAUACUCACAGGAGGAGGAGAACUUGAGGCCUAACCAGCUGUUCUCAGUGACACUUGAGUAACUAAGAUCUUGCAGAAACGUGGCACAGAAAAAGAAGGUUCCUUGGGGACAGAGUCGAAUGACUUGUGUUCUCUAUUCCUGUUUCUUCCUCUUAGUGUCUCUGAUUGUGUCAGAGUAUGAACUGUUUGCAAAGAUUCAUUUCAGAGGUGGGCAAGAGGGAGAGAAGGAAAGAAGGAGAGACAUACUUGCAGUGAUAAAGAACUUUGAGACAUCAUUUGAAGGGUCGUGUUGAACUUGUCCCCCACCUAAUGGUCACCAUAGCACACACAAGUUGGUUACUCUUUGGACUGUGAUUUUUGCAUGGGACGUGGUCAGGAUGAUCUCAUUUUGCUUCUUUGACACAAAUCGCAGUGAGGUGUUAGAACCACAGGUCUGUGUCUGAUGACAUCUGCCUGUAGGGCGACUUUAACCCAGUGUCUUGGCUGUGGAUUCGUUUCCCACAUUUUGAGCAAGAUUGCAAGGGCGUUGUGACAAGAGAUGAGAAGCCCUGACAUGUAGAAAGGCCAAUUCUGUGUUUAUCAUUCGUGCGUACUGAAUUUCUGAGACUCUGAGAGACUUCAUUCUUUAAGUUUUGCCGUGGUUGGGAAAUGAAAUAAUUAUGAAGUUUUCACUUUUAAACUUACAUAACUGAAAGCAGGCCCCAAUUGGGUUGCUCACAGGGACAACACAGGUACUAACAGCCAUACCAGGGUCUCUAGGGCAUCUUUCUCCUCUUCUGGGACCUACAGUUUGCCAACCCGUCCACCCCACUUCCAGCGUAUAUUCCAAAUGGGAGGUUCCAACUUAUGGGAGCUCCCUGCCCUCAGUGACUGGUUGAGGGAUGGGCACGUGACCCAGUCCAGGCCAGGGUUCCGCUCUGGUACUUCUUAUCUUGCGUCUGGGAGCUCUAAAGGAUAUGCUCGCAUCACAAGGACUACCACGUGGAGUUGACCGGAGUACAAGAAAUGGCCCCAAAGCAAAGCAGCAGAGAGGAGGGGCUGUUGUACAUCUGUCCUUCCCAUGGUUGGAUUAGAUAAGCUCAUAAAUUCCCCUUCUUACCUAAAGCAGCUUGAUUUGGGCUUUUGUAUGUGCAUCCAAGAGUCCUGACUAAUAAAAAAUUUCUGAAUGAAUAGCAUCAGUUAAAUAUGUAUCACUGAUGAUUUCUGGGUGUCAGUGAAGUUCCAACCUCUCUGUUUUCCGAGGAGGCCCACUUAGUGGCUUGCCUGUCUCUUGAAAGAAUAUAAGAUGAGCUUGGAGAGCUUUUCAGAGAUGGCGACUUGACUUAAGCAAACAAAGUAGGAUCACGAUGAUCAUAAUACCUAUUCUCUCUGUCUCCCUGCUCAGCUUUGCUUCUGGUGGAAAUAGGCUCGGAGAGGCUCACGUUGAAUUGACAGAGUGGCUGCCGGCAGCCUCUUGGGCUACAAACACCAGCUUUGAAUCUGGCGUUUCCCCAGUGUUCCCAGGAAGAGCCCUGAGAUGCACUGUAAUUAGACUAGCCUGGAUCACAUGGCCGCCUGGAACCAUCACUGUAACCAGAGGAGUGGGAGGGGUGGUUUGGUUUAUGCUGGGGGUGGAAACAUCACUUCGAAGCACAUUGGGAUGGGGAGAUGGAAGGUUCUCCAGAGCAAGUUAGGGUCAGUUCCCAAAGAAGAGAAAAGGAACUAUCCAUUACAACAGCACAGCCAUUUUAGAAAACAAAGCAAUGGACACAAAAAUGUUAGGUUUCUUAGACAAGUAUACAUAACCAGUAAGUGGAAGGUCUAAGGCCAGAAUGCACAUCCUCCCAUUUGAGACCCUUCCAGCUUUCUUUUCAUGAUAGUGGCCAUUACCCAGGGUGUACAGGAGUGCCAAAGUCUCAGGGCAUAUGGUGGUGUCGGUCAAGUUAAAAAUAAUUUCCAGAGGCCCAGAAUCUUAGUUACUGAUGACAUCUGCUUUCCCUGGCAGAGUGGGGAUUGCUGAGACGAUUGCCUUCACUAGACUUGGUGACACAGGAGAGACGGAAGAUGGGAUGCUGCUGCCCUUGGCUCAGGGUUAACCUUGAGCAGCAAACCUCGGGGUCUUCGCAAACUUCCCUCAGCAGCCAGAGUCGAUCCCUGGAGUCCCAGCUUUAGAGUCCAGGAUGCUUGGAUGGUUGUGAAUGUAUUAAUCACCUAGGCUGCCAUAACAAAAUAUCACAGACUGGGGGGCUUGAACAACAGACAUUUAUUUUCUCACAGUUCUGGAGGCUGGAAGUCCAAGAUCAAGGUGUUGGCAGGGUUGAUGUUACCUGGGCUUCUCUUCUUGUCUUGCAGAUGGCUGCUUUCUCACUGUGGCCUCACAUGGCCUUUUCUCUGUGCAGGUGUUGCCUGUGGUCUCUUCCUCUUCUUAUAAGGACCCAGUCCUGUUGGAUUAGGGUCCUAUUGCAUUAGAGUCCCACCCUAUGUCCUCAUUUAACCUUAAUUACCUCUUUCAAGGCUCUAUUUCUAAAUUCAGUCAUAUUAGGGGUUUGUCAAUUUUGGGGGGGGACAGUUCAUAACAGUGAAUUACAUGCAUCCUUUUCACAUACAUUCCUUGAUUUCCUAUAGUGUGCUAGCUAGGUACCCCCGGACGUGCUGGGGAUAGAGAUAAGAAGACCACUGCCCUCAAGGAAUUUUCCAUCUAGCUGGGAGAGAGAAUCACUGAGAAGCCUUGGUGGUUCAUCCCGUCGCAAGAGGGCUCAGAUUUCAGGGGAAGGAAGUCAGGGAAGACUUCACUGAGGGGUGUUGCUUGGGCAGUGCAAGGCUGCUGUCCCUGCUUCUCCUAAAUCUGCCCCCCUGAACUACUCAACAUGGUCACCUGUGCUCUUCUCAAUCACAGUGUCGCUCCAGGCCCCAAUACAAAAGAGGCGCCAUUGUACUGCAGCCAUGGCAAAAACACUCAUUUAGCUAAGUGCACAAAAUAAUGAAGCCCACACCAAAGGCACAGGGCACAAAUAAGUGCACAGACAGUACGUCGGUAUGUGAUGUGUGUGUGUUUGAAAGCAAAGGAGAAAUAUGAGGAGCCAGGAUGGAGAUGGGAAAAGUCACCAUGUCCUUUUUAGGUAACUUACUUUAUCCCUUAUAGGAAAGAAGAUGAGAAGGUGAAAGGUAAGUGUCCCAGGCAGAAUUGUGGGGAGCUUCUGAUUAAGGUGGUGGAGAGUGGGUUUGACUCUGAGGAGACAAGGGUGGCUGGAUGGUGGGGACUUGGGGCAGAUGGUGCAUUUUCAGUCCUACCUUGAAAUUAGGCAUAGAAAGAAGGGUAAAGAACUAAGAGCUGAUGUUCAUAAACAUGGGAAACUGGUGCAGGAUGCACGCUGUGUCACGUGAUCACAGUGGAAUGUGGUCACGGUAACUUGAAUUGCAGCGGUCAUACCUGGGGCUCAAGUGGAAGGAGAUGUGAGCAGCUGUAUGGACCAGGCCAGAGGAGAGCAGCAGACCAAGAAGUAGUUUGGGUGGAAGUAAAAUGGGGCUGGGGCGACUGGACAGAUGAGAGAGGUAUUCAAGCCUCAGAUCACCUUUAGUCUAGGGUGCCUUUGUGUUUCUGUCAUUACCCAGUCUACUUGGGAAAAAUAAUAAUAAUCACAUCUUAAAUCAGCAUAAUUUGAAGAGUAAUUGAAUAAUGAAAAUCCAGUUCAGAGCCAAAGAUGUAGCCUCUUGAAUCUCACUUGCUAGUUCCCAACUUAAUUUUUAAAAUUAAGACACCUCUAAUGAGACUCAGAAUGGUUCACAAUCCAGGAUGUAGUGAGGGGAAGAUAAGAUGCUAAAUGAGAAAAUGGGUUUCAUUUCAAAAACUGUCAUACUCUGUGUGUGUGUGUGUGUGUGUGUUGGGGGCUAGGCGGUGGGAUAGUUCUUCUCUAUAUAAGGCCAUUUAACUAUAAAUGGCAUUUGUUGGACGUGUGAGUCAGUGAAUUGGGAGGAAAAUGGGACUGCCUAAAAUAGCUUUUGUGCUACAGAACUGUUUGGCAUUGGAGAGACCUAGCUUUGAGUCCUGACUCUGACAAUCCCUCAUAAUCUCUUUCUCUGUCUAAUACACACACACACACACACUCAUUUACACA
Equus caballus (horse) is the source of this 4730-nucleotide non-coding RNA. The record is from RefSeq and is a predicted model, not a curated record. Lineage: Eukaryota; Metazoa; Chordata; Mammalia; Perissodactyla; Equidae.